AAUCUUUAAAAAAUGGAAGUAUGGAGAGGAAGGGAAGGGGAAAAGCAAUUUAUAGAAUUUCAGAACCGUUGGAUUCGUUCCAAGUGGCAAAAUCUUGUGAAAAGAGUAAAAGAAAAGUUUAAUUGCAUGAAAAAUGAGGGAGGAAAAUUUCCUCCUCCGGCGAUGGCGGCGCGUUGCUUAAGGCAGCAGUGGAUCUCUGCUCGAGGUGACAGAGCCUGGUCGAGGUGCUGCAGACUAGCUUAUAGGCACACAGGCCUGCAGCCGCGUUCACUGAGCCUAGGUGUACUGGGCGCCGCACGCGCAGGCCUACUGCGCAGGCCCUAGGCGCAUAGGGUCU
RNAcentral lists this long non-coding RNA (337 nucleotides) under Carica papaya (papaya). RNAcentral describes it as "long non-coding RNA (CPAP_LNC004314)". Lineage: Eukaryota; Viridiplantae; Streptophyta; Magnoliopsida; Brassicales; Caricaceae. The record is from RNAcentral.